AUUUCCAAGGUGGUGUACGAGCCCGUCUGAAGCCCCUCAUUUUCCGUUCUGCCUUCCGAUUGCCACGAGAAAGAAUCCCUUCCUCCACUGCAGUUCCGGCUUAGAACAGGACACAGUGCAGGUGCAACCACUGAACCGUCAUGCUAGCUGUUCCGAACAAGGCCUGGCAAGAACUUGGCAAGGACUUGGCAAGGACUUGGCAAAGACCUGACGUGGACCCAGCACGGGACAGCCUGAUGCGCGGCCUGCUUCUAAUCUCCGUUCUUAAGCCAAAUGAACUUUUGGGGUGACUCCCGGGGUCCUUCAUUGAAGACCCCUCAUCUGCCUCGUUACCAGUGUGACAAACAAAGAAUGAGAACCCUCCUCCCAAGGACUGAGACUGAGACCCCUGCUAUAGGGAGGAGGGGAAAUUGGUGGUCUGACCACUAAUGACAUGACCUGUUUCCCUUCAGUGAUUCAAAUGGACUUAUUCUUCAUUGUAUUCGUCUUGCUUUGGUGGUUUCUGUGGACUCAGCUGUUCCCGCGUGGCGAUUACAAUGGACUUUCGUUGUUCCACUUGCUCCCCCCUCUUUCCUCUGUGGACUAUAACUGGAGCCCCGAGUCGACCAGAACUUCGGAGACUCCCCCGACACGACAGACGGAUCCCCAUCGUCCGGACCACUGAGGAUCUCGCCUGUGUUGAAGAACUCCGAGGGACAUGAAGACCACCUAAUCCAUGAUCAAACUGGCUUGGACAACCUGGCUGCGACAGUGGAACCCUCCUAAAAAGCGGGUGCCAAGAGACAUAACUGGUGUUGUGGGAACAGAAUUGGGAAUCAGUUCAGAGGUAUUAAUGAAUAAAUUGGCUUCUACGACUAGAGAUUUGACCAAAAUACAGCAACCACUGCAGUCGUCCUUAUCGGCCUUGGGAACACAUCAGUGCUUGCUAUCAAACAUUCUACCAAAUUGGGAAAAGAUAAAUGUGAAGGAUAAAAAAUUGAUCAUUGAUGCACUUAAUGCCACACAAAGCAAUGUUUCCUUAGCUCUUAGCUGUAUCCAGGCUCAAUUAUGGAUGC
Long non-coding RNA from Vidua chalybeata, 1055 nucleotides. RefSeq lists it as uncharacterized. The record is from RefSeq and is a predicted model, not a curated record. The transcript has 3 exons. Lineage: Eukaryota; Metazoa; Chordata; Aves; Passeriformes; Viduidae.